Molecule: ribosomal RNA, 406 nt
Filed under: Novosphingobium aromaticivorans
Lineage: Bacteria; Pseudomonadati; Pseudomonadota; Alphaproteobacteria; Sphingomonadales; Sphingomonadaceae
Description: bacterial SSU rRNA
Rfam family: Bacterial small subunit ribosomal RNA
Source: RNAcentral
AACGAACGCUGGCGGCAUGCCUAACACAUGCAAGUCGAACGAACCCUUCGGGGUUAGUGGCGCACGGGUGCGUAACGCGUGGGAAUCUGCCCUUUGCUUCGGAAUAACAGUUAGAAAUGACUGCUAAUACCGGAUGAUGUCUUCGGACCAAAGAUUUAUCGGCAAGGGAUGAGCCCGCGUAGGAUUAGGUAGUUGGUGGGGUAAAGGCCUACCAAGCCGACGAUCCUUAGCUGGUCUGAGAGGAUGAUCAGCCACACUGGGACUGAGACACGGCCCAGACUCCUACGGGAGGCAGCAGUGGGGAAUAUUGGACAAUGGGCGCAAGCCUGAUCCAGCAAUGCCGCGUGAGUGAUGAAGGCCUUCGGGUCGUAAAGCUCUUUACCAGGGAUGAUAAAUGACAGACCUG